RNAcentral lists this transfer RNA (86 nucleotides) under Rhodobacterales bacterium. Its description in RNAcentral is "tRNA-Leu". It matches the Rfam family "tRNA". From Rfam's summary of the family: Transfer RNA (tRNA) molecules are approximately 80 nucleotides in length. Their secondary structure includes four short double-helical elements and three loops (D, anti-codon, and T loops). Lineage: Bacteria; Pseudomonadati; Pseudomonadota; Alphaproteobacteria; Rhodobacterales. The record is from RNAcentral. RNAcentral also lists the same sequence under 1 other name.
GCCGGUGUGGCGGAACGGUAGACGCAGCGGAUUCAAAAUCCGCCGAUGGCAACAUCGUGAGAGUUCGAGUCUCUCCACCGGCACCA